UAAUACAGAGGGUGCAAGCGUUAAUCGGAUUUACUGGGCGUAAAGCGUGCGUAGGUGGCCAAUUAAGUCAAAUGUGAAAUCCCCGAGCUUAACUUGGGAAUUGCAUUCGAUACUGGUUGGCUAGAGUAUGGGAGAGGAUGGUAGAAUUCCAGGUGUAGCGGUGAAAUGCGUAGAGAUCUGGAGGAAUACCGAUGGCGAAGGCAGCCAUCUGGCCUAAUACUGACACUGAGGUACGAAAGCAUGGGGAGCAAACAGGAUUAGAUACCCUGGUAGUCCAUGCCGUAAACGAUGUCUACUAGCCGUUGGGGUCUUUGAGACUUUAGUGGCGCAGCUAACGCGAUAAGUAGACCGCCUGGGGAGUACGGUCGCAAGACUAAAACUUAAAUGAAUUGACGG
This 396-nucleotide ribosomal RNA is filed under the name uncultured bacterium. Its description in RNAcentral is "bacterial SSU rRNA". It matches the Rfam family "Bacterial small subunit ribosomal RNA", at positions 521 to 916 of the family's 1533-position model. The record is from RNAcentral.